This 2096-nucleotide long non-coding RNA is filed under the name Zea mays. RNAcentral describes it as "long non-coding RNA (ZMAY_LNC000318)". The record is from RNAcentral. Lineage: Eukaryota; Viridiplantae; Streptophyta; Magnoliopsida; Poales; Poaceae.
GACUAGAAAAAAACAAACAUCAUUUGACAUCGAGUUUCUAAUUAAAUCAUGGCUGCAACUGGGCAACGUUAUUAUAAUAGUGAAGGUGGACGUGCUGCUACUUCCCUCAUUCCCAACAUGAAUCAAAUACCUGCAUUGAGUAAUGCAAGAGUGAGAUGAUACAUCUCAGCAAGCAAAUUAUUUUGACGAGAUAUUUAAACCACAAAUUGAAUUAAACAACAUUUUAAAGGAAUCUCAAUUGAGAUCAGAAAUACUUGUAGAUAUAGAACUCAAUAGUCCCAAUAUAACCAAUACCAUCUCAUUUCCUCGAACAACCACAAUAGGUUGUAUAACCCUUCCCUGCGUCAACAAUACCUGCAGAUAUCACUUCAAUGUAUGCAUAGGAAUGCAAUGUGUAGGUCAUCUGCCCUCAUACCUCUGAGAGUAUAAAACCACAUCAUCUGCUAAUAUCACUUCAAUGAAUGCAUAUAAAUGCAAUGCAUAUGUCCUCUGCCUUCAUACCUCUAAGGGUAUGAAGCCGCAUCGUACCCCUCCUCGGGCAACGUACGAUGCUAAGUUGUACCGGUACGGUCGGACCAUAGGCCACGACCCAACUUCAGAUGCAAAUGAAUAAUGUAAUUCAUAUGACAUGCUGCAUUUAUCAAUAUACUUCACUUCCUUCAGAUACAAAACAAACCUCAAAUAAUACUUCAUCUGCCUUCAGAUACAAUACAAAUCUCAAAUAAUACUUUAUCUGCCUUCAGGGGUGUAAAUUAAUCUCAUGGGUCAUACUCGAACCAUAAUCAUCAUCAAUAUAUGAUUGAGCAUAAGUAUAAUACAAGCAAGUAAAGCAUCACCAUAGAGUUCAAUUAUGAAAGAAUUCCAUAAUUCUGAAUAUUAGAGCGUAGGCGAUAAAAAAAACAACAAGUCAAAACGGUAGCAACCACUACUACAUUCACUUGCCUUCAUCGAAGAAGAAAGAUGUACUAGGCAUGAUCCGGAGUGUAGCCACCUGCUAGCGGGCAUAAAAAUUAGUACAAAUAUUUCACAAACAUUUGCUAACAAUCAACAAAUCGCUCGUACACUUGAAACCAAAUCCCGGUGGAAAGACUACCACCCUGAACCACAUGCCAAACAGCAGCAGCGCUGUUUGUUAAUUUUGUAUCUUUAAAAUUAUAACAGUGGUGAUAUUAAACAAAUACUAUAUGAGUGUGUACACAAAAUAUUCUAUAACUUCGGUAUUCAAUGGAUAAUUAAAUUCUGCCAUCUAUAAGUUCUAAAACAUCUGAUAAGAUAAAUGCCUGAAUAUGUUUCAGACAGCAGCAUAGUUAACUUCAAAAUUCAAUAUCUACCAAACUACUCAACCAAAAAUUAUGAAAUUCUGCUGGCAGUAAGAACUUUUAUCCCUCUACAAAUGUAUCCAUAGUUGGAACAGCCAAUUUGGCUAUUUACUAUAUGAAACCCACCAGUGAACAGACCCGCUCAUUUUUGUCAGGCAAACAGGAACAGCCACAGUAAAACAAACAUAACUGGACUUUCAUAAUUCAUAUGAAUGCGCUCUUUAACAAUCUGGAAAGCUUAUGAAAUUGUCUACAACUUCUUUUACAAUCCUAAAGUUUAAUUCUGUUGAUAAAAUUGCCUAAAGCUUAAGAGAAAAGAUUAUGUACAGAAUUAUGAGACUGAAAAACUGCUAUAAUCAAACUGCAAUAACUUCCUGAUCUGAUAUCCGAUUGAGGUGUUCUUUGCGGCCACGGAAAGAUCUACAAAUUAUCUACGACUCAUAGAUAGACUUUUUAUUUUUUUGAGGCCACUAAGACCACGGAAAACUGGCAUGAACAGAAACUAUUGAAUCUGCCAUUCUGCAGAAACUAAUUUCGAGAUUAAAAUCUAAUCUCCCAUCCAAUCUAACCAAAAAAACUAAUUGCAGGGCCUAAAACUCAUCCAAAACAAGGGAAAGCAUUCAUCAAGUGGAUAAAAGAGAGAGAGGAAAGGAAAUCCAACCAAUUCUUGGAGAGGAACGACGAUGAUGGGCGACGGUAUGCCCCCAUCUCCCCUCUCUUCUCUUCUUUUUUCUUCCUCUCUUCUCUUGGGGCAAGGCACAAAAGGGUGACGGCUGC